CAAAGUGCUGUUCGUGCAGGUAGUGUGAUAACCUAACCUACUGCUGAGCUAGCACUUCCCGA
RNAcentral lists this microRNA precursor (62 nucleotides) under Sus scrofa (pig). Its description in RNAcentral is "precursor microRNA ssc-mir1". It matches the Rfam family "mir-17 microRNA precursor family", at positions 11 to 80 of the family's 80-position model. Rfam says of the family: This family represents the microRNA (miRNA) precursor mir-17, family, which includes mir-20, mir-91, and mir-103. miRNAs are transcribed as ~70nt precursors (modelled here) and subsequently processed by the Dicer enzyme to give a ~22nt product. In this case the mature sequence comes from the 3' arm of the precursor. Lineage: Eukaryota; Metazoa; Chordata; Mammalia; Artiodactyla; Suidae. The record is from RNAcentral.